Molecule: long non-coding RNA, 1199 nt
Organism: Phragmites australis (common reed)
Lineage: Eukaryota; Viridiplantae; Streptophyta; Magnoliopsida; Poales; Poaceae
Exons: 5
Source: RefSeq, a predicted model, not a curated record
CCCACAUCAAUGUGUUUUGAGAUUUCAUUCCGUGCCGCCGCGCGGUUGCAUUUUGCUAGCGCGAGUUUGGAAUCUCUCUCUCCACCGCGCCUCCGUGGCAAUCGGCGGCGAUCACUCCAAUCUCUCACGGCCUUCGCUGAUGAUCGCCGUCGCCGAAAAUAAGUGGUGGAUUAGGUACCAGACGUAGCAGCAAUGGUUGCUCGAGCAUGUGAAUCGGUUGGGAUGGAAUGCCAAGUUAUGCAACUUUAAGCAAAAUAAGGAUUGUUGUCUGAUUGAAGAAGAGUAAGGGGAGAACAUACCUUGGUUGCAUGUGUUUGGCCACCAGGAAUCUUUCCAGCUUCCAUAUGCAGUGAAUCAAAUCUCUGUAGCCUCUUUGGUGGCAUUUUCUCUGCUGCAUAUGCAGAGCCAGAAUCACCGUGAGUAGCUCCAUUGGUGUGCUGAGGUUCAGCCAUCUUGAAGGAUCCGUUGGAGAAAGGUCUUCGUGAUGGUGCCAUUUGGAAUAUACCACCCGCAAGGCCGCAAUACGUGUCUAUGUAUGUGAAGUCCUCCAAAGGACUGACCGCUUUAGUAAUUGAAGGGACAAGAUCUUUGACCAUGUGCGCAAUUUAGAAGUGCGUCGAAAGCGCAUUCUUGGACGAACUCAGGGCAAAACACAUGAUGACGAUUACUGACUUGAUAGAUGCAGCCUAUGCAGCAUUCGUCUACAAGACUUGUGUGGGAUGAUAAGAAUGUCCUGUCUUGGCAUCUUUCGCCCCAUUUUCCAAUCCCCCUUCUGAAUAAAAUUACGCAUGGAAAAUUAGGGAAUUACGUGCUGAUUAUGGCAUUUCUUUCGUUGGUAGCAAUCAGUGGAAGCGGUAGACCGGAGAUUCUCAGCACCUGCUUUUGAUGGGUUGAUCGUUUUGAUCGUCGUGCGUAUGAUGCCAUCAUUGUUCGCCGUUAUGCUGACUCCUCUAUCCAGUUGCAGCCAUCCUUCUUGAAUCUUGACCCAUUUUCAUUUAUCUCGUCAGUUGAAGCAACGGCAUAGCUGUUGUGCCGUCCUCAUCUGGAAUUUUUUGAAUGACUCCAGUAGGGGAAUUCCCUACUGCAAGGUGUUUAUUUAGUUCAAUUGAAGAAAAAUAUAUUCAAACUGUACAAGGCCUAAGAGGAUAGGCAAGCUCAGCAAGAACAGGAGGAAGAAGAGAGUCUAUAAUCCAUAGAGA